Long non-coding RNA from Fundulus heteroclitus (mummichog), 404 nucleotides. RefSeq lists it as uncharacterized. Lineage: Eukaryota; Metazoa; Chordata; Actinopteri; Cyprinodontiformes; Fundulidae. The transcript is spliced from 2 exons. The record is from RefSeq and is a predicted model, not a curated record.
GCUGCCGGCUCUGCUGCCUCAGAUUUUUUCCACAGGUGUUCUGGGUUGACUGGUGGGCGGAGCCCACACACCUGCGGGCGGUUGAGCGGCAUCGGGAAGCACUACUUAAACACCACGCAGACAGCGAGAGGAUGCCAGAGUGUUACCGUCGUGGUACCUCCUCGUGUCAGUUCUCUUCCUCUCGUGACCCUGUGAGCCCACCUUCGACCCACUGGCCUCCCGGACACCUGUGGGCCACUAUCGUACGGCUAGCGCUUAGUCCUCACCGCUUCCUCCCCGGUCGGCCUUCCGUUUAUCGAGUGUGAUCGACCCGGUUUCCUGCUCCCUGACUGUUACCUGACGCUGCCUCCGCUGAGGCAGAAUCCUCCCGUUACCUGGUUCUUAAAUAAAACCUUUAAACUUCA